GACACUGAACAUUGAGCCUUGAUGUGUAGGAUAGGUGGGAGGCUUUGAAGCGUGGACGCCAGUCUGCGUGGAGCCAACCUUGAAAUACCACCCUUUAAUGUUUGAUGUUCUAACGUUGGCCCCUGACCGGGGUUGCGGACAGUGUCUGGUGGGUAGUUUGACUGGGGCGGUCUCCUCCCAAAGCGUAACGGAGGAGCACGAAGGUUAGCUAAUCCUGGUCGGACAUCAGGAGGUUAGUGCAAUGGCAUA
RNAcentral lists this ribosomal RNA (249 nucleotides) under Klebsiella pneumoniae. RNAcentral describes it as "partial 23S ribosomal RNA". It matches the Rfam family "Bacterial large subunit ribosomal RNA", at positions 2113 to 2361 of the family's 2925-position model. The record is from RNAcentral. Lineage: Bacteria; Pseudomonadati; Pseudomonadota; Gammaproteobacteria; Enterobacterales; Enterobacteriaceae.